AAACACUAGAUCCGCGAGACAGUCUUACAAAAGAUUUUGAGCAACUUGCGUUGACAUCUCGUUUCGAUAUAAACCUUUUCAGGACCCGAGGACAGAAAACAACCCGUACCUCGGAUUCAUCUACACAUCCUUCCAAGAAAGGGCUACGUUCGUGUCCCACGGAAACACAGCCCGACAUGCCCGGGAGCAUGGGGACAUCAAGCUGGCUCAGAUAUGCGGCACCAUCGCCUCAGAUGAGAAGCGCCACGAAACUGCGUACACCAAGAUAGUGGAGAAGCUGUUCGAGAUCGACCCCGAUGGGACCGUGCUAGCUUUUGCCGACAUGAUGAAGAAGAAAAUCUCCAUGCCCGCCCACUUGAUGUACGACGGCCGUGAUGACAGCCUCUUCGACCACUUCUCGGCCGUCGCCCAACGCCUCGGCGUCUACACAGCAAGAGACUACGCCGACAUUCUAGAACACUUGGUUGCACGAUGGAAAGUUGAAAAUAUAACGGGGCUAUCCGCGGAUGGGCAGAAGGCUCAAGAAUACGUCUGUGGAUUGCCUCCGAGAAUCAGACGUCUGGAGGAGAGAGCUCAAGGGAGGGCCAAGCAGGCGCCGAAGAUCCCGUUCAGCUGGAUAUACGACAGAGAAGUGCAACUCUGAACGCGACUUGCUUGGAACGAGCUUCUCGCACAAGCUCUUUAGCUGGCUGCGAUUGUAACUAUCGUUAAGAAAAGCAACGCUGCGCUUGCAGUUUGUCUUCGUAGUUUUCGUAUUGUUGAGAGAAUUGUGUUUUAGGAGAUGAAGCAGGGUGUAGAUACCAGUUUGUUGCUAUUUGUUGUGUUGCUAAAUCUUCACAAGUAUGUUUUUGGUGUAGCUUUUUCAAGACUGUAAACUGCAGGAUGUUUUGUGAGGCAAUUUUGAUUUGCGAAAUAAGUAGUUUUCUGCUCAAAUUGUGAUUAGGUGAGUAAUAUGUUUGGAGAAUUUUCUUUUCAUCUUCUUCUUUGCCAUUUUUAUAAAUAUAAGUGUAUAUUAGUUGUGUUGCUAAUCUAGGAAAGAGACACUUCAGCUAGAAGGCUGUGUGCUUCUUGCUCAAAGGGACAGAAGAAAUAAAAAGACACGGAGAUCAACCUUAGGUUGAAAAGCCUUGGAAGAGAAGAGAGAAUGGAGGAGAGAUAAUACCCGAUUAUGCGACCAUUGAUUGAGAAAUCCUGUUCCAUGAAUGAGAUCGAUUGCAAAAACAGCAGCUCUUCUGCUCGUCAUCCUUAAUCGGCGGUGAGAUUUAAUGUGAAGAAAGGGAGAGUGUUGGGCGACGCUUGCGAGAUUAGUUUGUGAUUGAAUCUGAAAAUAAUGUUUGGGCUCAAACUAUUUGGGCUACUAGAAAAAUAACUACUAAGAUAGUAAACAUAAUAAAUGUUUUCUUACAUUUUUUAAAAUGUAGUGCAUCUAUAAUUAUUUUAGUUUUCUUAUUUUAAUUAUUUUUCUUAUUUUAAUUUUGAAAUAAAGUAUUUAACUUUGAAAUAAAGUAGCCACUUACCAUAAUAUGUUGGAUCACUACACAAUUCCAUUGUAUUUUCUAAUGUAUACUUUUUUUUUGACUUGUAUUUUCUAAUGUAUACUUGAGAACUUUUAAUUAUACAGUGCAGUUCCUUCCUUCAUUUGUCUUUAAAAAAUACUAAAAUAACCUUAUUUCUUUCGUAAUAACCUAUUUGUAUGUAAAUAAAAAAUAUAUAGUUACAUUUGAUAGUUUCAAUUAUGCAAUGGCGUCUAUGAGUGAAAUUUUGUUUGUAAUAUUAAGUUAAACAAUUCUUUUCAUCGCUCUUAUUCAAAUUUGUAUUAUAAUUUUGUUGUAGAUCAGUUUGUAAUAUUUAAUAUUGUAGUUAUAAGGCAUAUUAUUAUUUGUUAAUUUUAUAUUGCAUGUGUUUUUUUAUGAUAACUUGGUACAUAAACAUCCUUUGUGGAUUAGUACAUGAUACUAAUUAUAAAUAAUCUGCUGCAAUAAUAAUGGAUUAAAUAAAAAAAGUAGAAGCAUAUGCUAAGAGUCUCUUUUCGCGCAUUUCUUCUAAGAAAACCACUAUAGUAAUCUCUCUCUUAGGUUAACUAGUAUUUUCUCAUGUGCUAUGCACGAAAUGAAAAUAUAGCAAUAUUAUACAAUGUAAAUAAAAUAUACAUUUUCUUGAGAAAAAAAAGCAAUAAUAAUACCUGGAAUCUAUAUCUAUAAUAUAUAAAAGAUUGUAGUUUUUUUUUUUCCUUCUUUUUCUAUUUCUUCUUCCACCAAAAUUUUCACUAUUNUUUUUAACCUUUUUAUAUUGUAAUUAUUAUUUAAAUGUCAUCAAAUUUGAUCAUGAAAAAAAUAAUCAAUAUGUAUCUCAAAUUCAAUAUAGUAUAAAAAUCAUAAAAAAUCAAUAAGUUAUGGAAAUAUUAGAAUAUUUUAUUUUCUUUCUCUUCAUUAAAAAAUUUAUAACUUUUUAUUUACGUUUGUAUAAAAAUAUUUAUUAUGAUGAAUAGUAUAUACACAGUGCAAAUUUUUAUUAUCGAAUACUUUUUAAAUUUAUUUAAUAACUUUAAUUAACAUUACACUUUGUAUAAAUUGAAUAUGAGAAAAAUUUUGAAGUAGCCAAAAUGAAGCAUAAAACACAAUUUAUGGCCACACAUUGAAAAAACACAAAAUUUGGCCAUUUUUUUUUAUUUGGACGUUUUUACCCUUAAUGAAGCGGACCGGGUAGGAUCAGGCACGCGGGUCGCAUGCCGGGUCGGGUUAGGCACUUAUGGCACUAUUAGUGCCUAGUGCCAUAAGUGCCAAGAUUUUACUUUGGUUUUAUUUUGGAUUUCCGUUGGCACUUAUGGCACUAAUAGUGUCAUAAGUGCCAAAAUAAAACCAAGUAAAAUAGUCAUUAUAUGUGCAGCACAAAUAUAGAAACAACAUCAUUUAAACCCUAAAUGGAACAUCUAAACCCCAAAUGGAUAAUCUAAACCCUAAAUGGAAUAUAUAAACCCUAGGGGGAAGUGUGCACUUAUGGCACUAAUAGUGCCAUAAGUGCCAUACAUACAUCACAAAUACAGAUCAGAUCAGAUCUGUUGAUGGCUGAAAUCGAAGGAGGCGGAGAUCAGAUCUGCCGAUGGAGGAGGCGGCGCAACGAUCAGAUCAGAUCCACCUCCAUACCCUAGAUCCCCAAAUCCAGCCCCCCAUUUUCCUUCAAUUUCAUAACAAUAGCAACCCAACACCGCCAGCGCUGCCUUCUAUCCCACUCGACACACACCCAAACCAGAUGCUAGAGGAAAAAUCAGCGGUGGUCGCGGCGGCAAAGCCCUAGCCCCAAAUCGGCUGCGGCGGCAAAGAGCAUACCCGCGCGUGCCGACGAGGUUGGCGACAGGGCCUUCAAACAGAGAGAGAGAGAGAGAGAUCUGCUUCAGUGAGGGUGUUGUGUUUUUGGAGGGAGAAGAGGUGAGAGACGAGAGAGGGAGUUGAGAGGGUGACGGGCGAGGGGUGGCCGGCAGUUGUGGCUGACGGCGGUGCUCUCCACCGGGGAAGAAGGGGGCGGCGUCAGUCUUGGUGUGUGUUGUGUGUUGAGAGAGAGAGAGAGAGAGAGAGAGAGAGAGAGAGAGAGGGAGAGAAAGAUGAGGAAAGCAAGCUGGAUCCGACGGUUCAAAGAAAAUUGAGUUGGAUCUGCUAAGUUAAAAGGGUAAAUUAGGUAUGACACAUAAAAGAUGGCCAAAUAUUGUGAUUUUUCAUUUUGUGGCCAAAAUUUGAGUUUCCAUCUUCAAUAGGGCCAUCCGGCCCUAUUGUUUCUUGAAUAUAUAUAUUUUUAAAUUCAGGAUUUUAUUGACACUACAAGAAAACGCGGCUCUAACGACCGAAUUUUCGGUUGUUAAACUCGAAAAUUCGGUCGUUAAAGUCUUAACGACCGAAACAACGACCGAAAACUACAAUAAUGUACAAUUUUUAGAUUUAAUUAUAUCAACUCUGUUGUACAUUAUGAGUUUCAACUCUGUGGACCAAUUCGGCUUUAUUUUGGACGAAAAUCUCAAUCUUGAUGAAAUUACAUGAAUUGUUAAGUUUGUGUAUUUUUGUCACAAUUUUAAAGUUGGUGUGCAAAGUCAAAAAUCGAUUAGAAUUGGUGUAUUUUAACGCCAAUAACCCAAUAUUACACUUGGAACAUAUAUGUGAGCAUAUUUUGGUCAAGUACCUCAUGAUUACUUAGUCAUUUUUCAGUAAGUUUCUUUCAAUUUUUCCUUUCAUUCGAUUUUGGAGUUCCUUGAUGUCAGAUCUUGUAGUGGGACCCUUACUUCUACUGCAUUGAAUCUCUCUCUCUCUCUCUUAGUUGGUGCCACCAUAAAUAUGCUGACAUGGUUCUUCAGGUUUUGUUUAGGGGUUAUUGCCAGAAAAUACAUAUACUUUGUCUAAUUUUUUGGUUUAUAUCAUGACCUUAUAAUUUGGACCAAAAAAUACAUCAAUUUUCAAUUUAAUUGCAAUUAUAACAUGACUUUAUAGUCUGGCCAUAAAAUACACCAAGUUUCAAUUUAUUCUCGAUUCUAACAUGACCUUGUAAUUAAUUUAGUAUAAUAAUACCAAGUUUAAUACAUUAAAUAUUUUUAAUUUUCUUUUCAUCUCACAAUAUACUAUAUAUAAAUACAUAUAUAUUUUAUAGGAUAAAUAGAUAAAGGUUUACUUUGUGUGAUAGGAUAGAUAGAUAAAGGUUUACUUUGUGUGAUAGGAUAAAUAGAUAAAGAUAAUCCUUCAUAUACUCAAAUCAUAUGUUAUCUAUCUUAUAUCCUAUUGUCACAAAGUAAACGGCCCCGUAACUUGAUGACAAAUACCCUUCGCCAUGAGGAAAAACAGAGUGAGAGAUGCUACUGAUCUCGGGCGAAUUUUUCAUAAACUGGUGAUUUUGCUUUUGGCGUUGUAAUGCAAAUGCUUUUGUCCGUUUACAAAAACAAUGUUGUGGUGAAGGGCUAUCUUUGCAUUUGCUGCUAGUAUUCUUGGGAAUGUUUACGACUUGAAUUGAAGUUUAGAUCUUGACAAAUUGUGCAAAUCAUGAUACUUCAAGUGAACUUCCCUUACAAUGUUUUCAAUUUUUUUACAGGGAAGCUGAGACUGCGAAGAAGCCUUUUAGCGCUCCUCGUGAGGUUCACGUUCAAGUCACGCACUCGAUGCCCCCUCAAAAGAUCGAGAUCUUCAAAUCUAUAGAAGGCUGGGCCGAGGACAAUCUACUGGUUCACCUUAAACCAGUUGAGAAGUGUUGGCAGCCUCAGGAUUUCUUGCCAGAUCCCGCCUCGGAUGGAUUCCAUGACCAGGUCAGGGAAUUGAGAGAGAGAGCUAAGGAGAUUCCCGACGAUUAUUUUGUUGUUCUGGUUGGAGAUAUGAUCACCGAGGAAGCCCUCCCGACGUACCAGACAAUGCUCAACACCUUGGAUGGCGUGAGGGAUGAAACGGGGGCGAGCUUAACUCCUUGGGCAGUCUGGACGAGGGCGUGGACUGCUGAGGAGAAUAGGCACGGAGAUCUUCUUAAUAAGUAUCUUUAUCUCUGCGGGAGAGUAGACAUGAAGCAAAUCGAGAAGACUAUCCAAUAUCUCAUCGGGUCGGGAAUGGUAACUAACUUCGUUUCUCGUUUGUCUAAAUCUAUGAAUAACUCUUACUUGAUUAUCUACUUGCUUGUGAGUCGUGUCAAUCAUUGUAACUUGGUCCCGAAUUUGUGUAGACUGUCUCACGGGUCAAGAUUCAGAUUGAAACACUAGAUCCGCGAGACAGUCUUACAAAAGAUUUUGAGCAACUUGUGUUGACAUCUCGUUUCGAUAUAAACCUUUUCAGGACCCGAGGACAGAAAACAACCCGUACCUCGGAUUCAUCUACACAUCCUUCCAAGAAAGGGCUACGUUCGUGUCCCACGGAAACACAGCCCGACAUGCCCGGGAGCAUGGGGACAUCAAGCUGGCUCAGAUAUGCGGCACCAUCGCCUCAGAUGAGAAGCGCCACGAAACUGCGUACACCAAGAUAGUGGAGAAGCUGUUUGAGAUCGACCCCGAUGGGACCGUGCUAGCUUUUGCCGACAUGAUGA
This 6036-nucleotide long non-coding RNA is filed under the name Salvia miltiorrhiza (redroot sage). RNAcentral's name for it is "long non-coding RNA (SMIL_LNC004770)". The record is from RNAcentral. Lineage: Eukaryota; Viridiplantae; Streptophyta; Magnoliopsida; Lamiales; Lamiaceae.